Molecule: long non-coding RNA, 1228 nt
Organism: Leptopilina boulardi
Lineage: Eukaryota; Metazoa; Arthropoda; Insecta; Hymenoptera; Figitidae
Exons: 3
Source: RefSeq, a predicted model, not a curated record
CAGCUUCUACCUUACAUAUUUUAAUUAUUUUUUAAAGUAAUUAUUUUAAUUGAAAUUUUAAUUUUAAAAUUUUUAUGGAAAUUUAAGAAAAAAAUCAUUUUGUAAUAAAAGGAUUUUUUCUGAAAUUUUUGUAUUCUAAAGAUUUUGCAUAAUUUUUUUUUUGUUACUUUAUCAUUCGCUAUACAUUGUAGUGAAUUGAAUAUUCAAUUUUACUUAAUGGUUUUUUUUUAAAUGAGGUAUAUUAAAGUAUUUAACUUCUUACUAUUUUUGAAAUACAUUUAAUUUUAUUUCUUAAAUUUUCAUUUUUAUUUAUUAAUCAUUAUAUUUAUUUUUUUUAUAUUUUUUUUUAUUUUACUGUUUCUGUUUUCUUUUUUUUUAUUUUAAUUUCUUAGAUUCCACAGUUACUACAUUGAAUGCAGUGAAAAUAAAUUCAUGUGAAAUUUUUAAUAACGGACACAAAUUUUUACAUCUAAAAUAUUGCAAACAUAUGCAAAUAUCGCAUCUGAUGACACUCCCAACUUGGUUGCAUCAGAUUCUAGUUUACCUUAACUGCAAGUUAUUUCUUGAUGUAUAAAUUAUCUUUUAACAUCGAAAAAAUAUUGUUUAAUAUCCUUUGUAAACAAACAAAUGCAAUUUUGCAAACAGGAAACUAAUUUCAAGUUCAGUAACUUCAGUUUUUGAAUUUUCAAAAUCUUUUUUGGAAAUUCGUCAAAUUAAUAAUGGAAAAAGACUGAUAAUUUUUCUUAUAAAAAUAAAAAAUAAUUUUCAGUUUUAAAUUAUGGGAAAAAUAAGAGUAAAAGAUUUUAUUUAAUAUUAUCAAGAGGAUUUCUACGUUUGGGAAGGAAGAAAUUUUCCAAAAUGCAAAAUGACAAUGUGUUUUUUCUUUUUAAAAAUUUCUAAAGAUAAUAGAAGAUUUGAUAAAAUAAAAAAAAUAUAUAUAGAAAGCAUAAAAUCCCCACUUUUAUUCUAAUAAUGAAGAGAAUAUGGGAGGGAUUGCAGGUGAAGGGAGCUUUGUAAAAGCCACAGGAAUCACCGGAAGAUUCGUAGUCCUCUACCUGAGGUUGACAGUGUGAGUUCAUUUCAAAAUUGCAUUAAACAAUUGGAUGAGGGAAGUUUAAAUUACAAUUCAAUUGGAAAUUUAUCAGUGACACUUUAACACAAAACGUGAUUGAUUAAUUAAUGAUUUUUAUUUUUUAUCGACACUAAGAAUUUCGUAUACUUAUGUGUC